Molecule: ribosomal RNA, 560 nt
Filed under: uncultured bacterium
Lineage: Bacteria
Description: bacterial SSU rRNA
Rfam family: Bacterial small subunit ribosomal RNA
Source: RNAcentral
CCUACGGGAGGCAGCAGUGGGGAAUAUUGGACAAUGGGCGAAAGCCUGAUCCAGCAAUGCCGCGUGAGUGAUGAAGGCCUUCGGGUCGUAAAGCUCUUUUACCAGGGAUGAUAAUGACAGUACCUGGAGAAUAAGCUCCGGCUAACUCCGUGCCAGCAGCCGCGGUAAUACGGAGGGAGCUAGCGUUGUUCGGAAUUACUGGGCGUAAAGAGUACGUAGGCGGUUAUUCAAGUCAGAGGUGAAAGCCCGGGGCUCAACCCCGGAACUGCCUUUGAAACUAGAUAACUAGAGUCUUGGAGAGGUUAGUGGAAUUCCGAGUGUAGAGGUGAAAUUCGUAGAUAUUCGGAAGAACACCAGUGGCGAAGGCGACUAACUGGACAAGUACUGACGCUGAGGUACGAAAGCGUGGGGAGCAAACAGGAUUAGAUACCCUGGUAGUCCACGCCGUAAACGAUGAUAACUAGUUGUUCGGUCACUUGGUGACUGAGUGACGCAGCUAACGCAUUAAGUUAUCCGCCUGGGGNGGUACGGUCGCAGAUAAACUACAAUAGAUUAGACGG